AACGAACGCUGGCGGCAUGCCUAACACAUGCAAGUCGAACGAAGGCUUCGGCCUUAGUGGCGCACGGGUGCGUAACGCGUGGGAAUCUGCCCUUAGGUUCGGAAUAACAGUUAGAAAUGACUGCUAAUACCGGAUGAUGACGUAAGUCCAAAGAUUUAUCGCCUGAGGAUGAGCCCGCGUAGGAUUAGCUAGUUGGUGUGGUAAAGGCGCACCAAGGCGACGAUCCUUAGCUGGUCUGAGAGGAUGAUCAGCCACACUGGGACUGAGACACGGCCCAGACUCCUACGGGAAGCAGCAGUGGGGAAUAUUGGACAAUGGGCGCAAGCCUGAUCCAGCAAUGCCGCGUGAGUGAUGAAGGCCUUAGGGUUGUAAAGCUCUUUUACCCGUGAUGAUAAUGACAGUAGCGGGAGAAUAAGCCCCGGCUAACUCCGUG
Molecule: ribosomal RNA, 433 nt
Filed under: uncultured bacterium
Lineage: Bacteria
Description: partial 16S ribosomal RNA
Rfam family: Bacterial small subunit ribosomal RNA
Source: RNAcentral